RNAcentral lists this ribosomal RNA (541 nucleotides) under uncultured bacterium. RNAcentral describes it as "partial 16S ribosomal RNA". It matches the Rfam family "Bacterial small subunit ribosomal RNA", at positions 355 to 889 of the family's 1533-position model. The record is from RNAcentral.
UGGGGAAUUUUGGACAAUGGGGGCAACCCUGAUCCAGCAAUGCCGCGUGUGUGAAGAAGGCCUUCGGGUUGUAAAGCACUUUUGUCCGGAAAGAAAACGCCGUGGUUAAUACCCGUGGCGGAUGACGGUACCGGAAGAAUAAGCACCGGCUAACUACGUGCCAGCAGCCGCGGUAAUACGUAGGGUGCAAGCGUUAAUCGGAAUUACUGGGCGUAAAGCGUGCGCAGGCGGUUUGCUAAGACCGAUGUGAAAUCCCCGGGCUUAACCUGGGAACUGCAUUUGUGACUGGCGGGCUAGAGUAUGGCAGAGGGGGGUAGAAUUCCACGUGUAGCAGUGAAAUGCGUAGAGAUGUGGAGGAAUACCGAUGGCGAAGGCAGCCCCUGGGCCAAUACUGACGCUCAUGCACGAAAGCGUGGGGAGCAAACAGGAUUCAGAUACCCUGGUAGUCCACGCCCUAAACGAUGUCAACUAGUUGUCGGGUCUUCAUUGACUUGGUAACGUAGCUAACGCGUGAAGUUGACCGCCUGGGGAGUACGGUCGC